Molecule: ribosomal RNA, 423 nt
Filed under: uncultured bacterium
Lineage: Bacteria
Description: partial 16S ribosomal RNA
Rfam family: Bacterial small subunit ribosomal RNA
Source: RNAcentral
GAAUUUUGGACAACGGGCGAAAGCCUGAUCCAGCAAUGCCGCGUGCAGGAUGAAGGCCUUCGGGUUGUAAACUGCUUUUGUACGGAACGAAAAGCUUUGGGUUAAUACCCUGGAGUCAUGACGGUACCGUAAGAAUAAGCACAGGCUAACUACGUGCCAGCAGCCGCGGUAAUACGUAGGGUGCAAGCGUUAAUCGGAAUUCCAGGGCGCAAAGCGGAGUGCGGCCGUUUUUUAAGGCAGAGGUGAAAUCCCCGGGCUCAACCUGGGAAAUGCCUUUGUGACUGCAAAGGUAAAGUACUGCAGAGGGGGGUGGAAUUCCGCGUGUAGCAGUGAAAUGCGUAGAUAUGCGGAGGAACACCGAUGGCGAAGGCAACCCCCUGGGCCUGUACUGACGCUCAUGCACGAAAGCGUGGGGAGCAAACA